RNAcentral lists this ribosomal RNA (253 nucleotides) under uncultured bacterium. Its description in RNAcentral is "partial 16S ribosomal RNA". It matches the Rfam family "Bacterial small subunit ribosomal RNA", at positions 524 to 776 of the family's 1533-position model. The record is from RNAcentral.
UACGUAGGCAGCGAGCGUUGUUCGGAGUUACUGGGCGUAAAGGGUGCGUAGGCGGUUGUUUAAGUUUGGUGUGAAAUCUCCCGGCUCAACUGGGAGGGUGCGCCGAAUACUGAAUGACUAGAGUGCGGGAGAGGAGAGUGGAAUUCCUGGUGUAGCGGUGAAAUGCGCAGAUAUCAGGAGGAACACCGGUGGCGAAGGCGGGUCUCUGGGCCGUUACUGACGCUGAGGAGCGAAAGCGUGGGGAGCGAACAGG